RNAcentral lists this ribosomal RNA (802 nucleotides) under uncultured bacterium. Its description in RNAcentral is "bacterial SSU rRNA". It matches the Rfam family "Bacterial small subunit ribosomal RNA", at positions 8 to 796 of the family's 1533-position model. The record is from RNAcentral.
AGAGUUUGAUCAUGGCUCAGGACGAACGCUGGCGGCGUGCCUAACACAUGCAAGUGGAGCGACGAACCGGACUUCGGUCCGGGGCAAAGCCGCGAACGGGUGAGUAACACGUGGGUAACCUGCCCUGAUGAUUGGGACAACCCGAGGAAACUCGGGCUAAUACCGAAUGUGCCCUCCGGUCUCAAGACCGCUGGGGAAAGGAAGCUUCGGCCUCCGCAUCGGGAUGGGCCCGCGGCCCAUUAGCUUGUUGGUGAGGUAAUGGCUCGCCAAGGCAACGAUGGGUAGCUGGUCUGAGAGGACGAUCAGCCACACUGGGACUGAGACACGGCCCAGACUCCUACGGGAGGCAGCAGUGGGGAAUCUUGCGCAAUGCGCGAAAGCGUGACGCAGCAACGCCGCGUGGGGGAAGACGGCCUUCGGGUUGUAAACCCCUUUCAGUUGGGACGAAGCUCCGCCGGUGAAUAGCCGGCUGGAGUGACGGUACCUUCAGAAGAAGCCCCGGCUAACUACGUGCCAGCAGCCGCGGUAAUACGUAGGGGGCAAGCGUUGUCCGGAAUCAUUGGGCGUAAAGAGCGUGUAGGCGGCUCGGUAAGUCCGCUGUGAAAGUCCAGGGCUCAACCCUGGAAUGCCGGUGGAAACUGUCGAGCUAGAGUCCGGAAGAGGCGAGUGGAAUUCCUGGUGUAGCGGUGAAAUGCGCAGAUAUCAGGAGGAACACCAAUGGCGAAGGCAGCUCGCUGGGACGGUACUGACGCUGAGACGCGAAAGCGUGGGGAGCAAACAGGAUUAGAUACCCCGGUAGUCC